Pseudopodoces humilis (Tibetan ground-tit) is the source of this 380-nucleotide non-coding RNA. NCBI's taxonomy places the organism in Eukaryota, Metazoa, Chordata, Aves, Passeriformes, Paridae. The record is from RefSeq and is a predicted model, not a curated record.
UGUUUCUUUCCCCAUGGAAACCCAAAAUGCAGCUGGAUGCAGGCAAAGAGGAGGAUACUGCACUUACGGGAGAUGCAACUUCCCUGCGAGACCCAUUGGAAGAUGCACACUGUACAGUGUGUGCUGCAAGAGAUAAGAAUCUGGGGUUGAAACUCUGAAAUUCCCAAGCAGGAUUUACCCCUUCCUUCUGGCUGCUGGACCCAUCUCCUGAUGUCCCCUCCCGUCCCUGCCUAUGCCGUGCCCUGCUGGGGUGACAGCAGCAGUGGCAGCUGCUCCUGCUGGGUGCUGCUGGGCUGGAGCCCUGUGGUGCCAGCCCCGCUGUCUUUGGGGCAGGGGCUGCUUUUCCCAGCUUGAAUAAAGACGAGCACUUUGGCAUUGCA